RNAcentral lists this ribosomal RNA (253 nucleotides) under uncultured bacterium. RNAcentral's name for it is "partial 16S ribosomal RNA". It matches the Rfam family "Bacterial small subunit ribosomal RNA", at positions 524 to 776 of the family's 1533-position model. The record is from RNAcentral.
UACGAAGGGGGCUAGCGUUGUUCGGAAUCACUGGGCGUAAAGGGCGCGUAGGCGGCUCAUGAAGGCUGUGGUGAAAGUCCGGGGCUCAACCUCGGAUCGGCCGUGGCGACUCGUGGGCUGGAGCACUGUAGAGGCGGGUGGAAUUCCGGGUGUAGCGGUGGAAUGCGUAGAGAUCCGGAAGAACACCAGUGGCGAAGGCGACACGCUGGGCCGUACCUGACACUGAUGCGCGACAGCAUGGGGAGCAAACAGG